GGCCAGCAGCCGCGGUAAUACGUAGGGUGCGAGCGUUAAUCGGAAUUACUGGGCGUAAAGCGUGCGCAGGCGGUUUUGUAAGUCAGAUGUGAAAUCCCCGAGCUCAACUUGGGAACUGCGUUUGAAACUACAAGACUAGAAUAUGUCAGAGGGGGGUAGAAUUCCACGUGUAGCAGUGAAAUGCGUAGAGAUGUGGAGGAAUACCAAUGGCGAAGGCAGCCCCCUGGGAUAAUAUUGACGCUCAUGCACGAAAGCGUGGGGAGCAAACAGGAUUAGAUACCCUGGUAGUCCACGCCCUAAACGAUGUCUACUAGUUGUUGGUGGAGUAAAAUCCAUGAGUAACGCAGCUAACGCGUGAAGUAGACCGCCUGGGGAGUACGAUCGCAAGAUUAAAACUCAAAUGAAUUGACGGGGGCCCGCACA
This 423-nucleotide ribosomal RNA is filed under the name uncultured bacterium. RNAcentral describes it as "bacterial SSU rRNA". It matches the Rfam family "Bacterial small subunit ribosomal RNA", at positions 506 to 927 of the family's 1533-position model. The record is from RNAcentral.